UACGUAGGCAGCGAGCGUUGUUCGGAGUUACUGGGCGUAAAGAGCUCGUAGGCGGCUCGUUGCGUCGGCUGUGAAAACCCGCAGCUCAACUGUGGGCUUGCAGCCGAUACGGGCGGGCUGGAGUUCGGUAGGGGAGACUGGAAUUCCUGGUGUAGCGGUGAAAUGCGCAGAUAUCAGGAGGAACACCGGUGGCGAAGGCGGGUCUCUGGGCCGAUACUGACGCUGAGGAGCGAAAGCGUGGGGAGCGAACAGG
Molecule: ribosomal RNA, 253 nt
Filed under: uncultured bacterium
Lineage: Bacteria
Description: partial 16S ribosomal RNA
Rfam family: Bacterial small subunit ribosomal RNA
Source: RNAcentral